This 208-nucleotide ribosomal RNA is filed under the name uncultured eukaryote. RNAcentral describes it as "partial 18S ribosomal RNA". It matches the Rfam family "Eukaryotic small subunit ribosomal RNA", at positions 1299 to 1458 of the family's 1831-position model. The record is from RNAcentral.
UGGUGGAGUGAUUUGUCUGGUUAAUUCCGUUAACGAACGAGACCUCAGCCUGCUAAAUAGUUGCGUGAACCUUCUACUCGGGUGAAGGGUGAGCUCUGGUGCAGUAGCUUGCUGCUGUAUCUGCUUGCUUGGAUCCUUGAUGAGUUCAUGAAUAUACUUCUUAGAGGGACUAUUGGUAUCUAGCCAAUGGAAGUUUGAGGCAAUAACA